Long non-coding RNA from Ixodes scapularis (black-legged tick), 324 nucleotides. RefSeq lists it as uncharacterized. Lineage: Eukaryota; Metazoa; Arthropoda; Arachnida; Ixodida; Ixodidae. The transcript is spliced from 3 exons. The record is from RefSeq and is a predicted model, not a curated record.
CGAUGACAACAGUCAAGCUGAUGAUAAUGCUUUGUUCUUCUCUUCUCGCUACUUGCUACUCCAGCAACCCGACGGAACAAUUCCUUAAAGACACGGAAACAAGACCAAUCCUUCUCUACGAGUGCUACCAGAGCGGAAACAGUAUUGAUGCGCCAGGAACCAUUAACUUUACUGCUCUCUAUGACGGCACGAGUCAAGCAACGACACUAAUUGAAGGUGUCACGUGGGCAGCAACAAAUGGAAGUACUGAAUCCUACGUUGUUGGUGCUUUUCUGGCUCGCUACGAUGCGGAAAGAAGUACCGGAGUGAUCUAUACCUAUAGUG